RNAcentral lists this long non-coding RNA (307 nucleotides) under Hordeum vulgare. RNAcentral describes it as "long non-coding RNA (HVUL_LNC010306)". The record is from RNAcentral. Lineage: Eukaryota; Viridiplantae; Streptophyta; Magnoliopsida; Poales; Poaceae.
UGUUUUUUCCCUUUACUUUCUUUUGCUGCAGUUAUUUUUCUGUUUUGUUUCUUUUAGAAACCAGGGUUUUUUAAUCCUUUUAAAGCUUAGCUUAUAUGUGUGUAUGUAGUGUAUGUAUGCACUUGUAUGUAUAUGUGCACAUGGUGUGGUGUGGAUGUGUGUGGAUGUGUGUGUGCACAUGGUGUGGUGUGUAUGUGUGUGGAUGUGUGUGUGUGUGUGGGCAGUGGUGCACAUAUGCACUUGUGCAUGAGAGCUAACCCCUCAUUCUUGCCACUAUGAGGUGGUGUGGUGUGUCUGUGUGUAGGUG